GAAAAGAGAAAAUGUAUUAUCGCUGAAGACAAUGGCCUAAAUCUUGCAUUUACAAUUGCUCAUGAAAUGGGUCACAACUUUUUCAGUUAGAACUGCUUCUGCAUUCUAAAAUAAAUCUGGAGAUUCAUUGGGCAGCAAAACUUUGCACUGGCUUGGCACAUUCUGCUCCCACCUGA
This is a non-coding RNA of Manis javanica (Malayan pangolin), 176 nucleotides long. The record is from RefSeq and is a predicted model, not a curated record. Lineage: Eukaryota; Metazoa; Chordata; Mammalia; Pholidota; Manidae.